GUGCUCACUUUGGCAGCAUGUACACUAAACAAAAUGGAAUGUCACAAAGAAAAUCCGCAUAGCCCCUGCACAAGCGUGGCACACAAAUUUGAGAAAAUAAUUUGAAAGUG
This is a small nuclear RNA of Cricetulus griseus (Chinese hamster), 110 nucleotides long. The record is from Ensembl. NCBI's taxonomy places the organism in Eukaryota, Metazoa, Chordata, Mammalia, Rodentia, Cricetidae.